GGGGAUUUAGCUCAGUGGCAUAAGCACCUGCCUUGCAAGCAGGUGGUCGUGAGUUCGAGCUCCAGUACCGA
This 71-nucleotide transfer RNA is filed under the name Cavia porcellus (domestic guinea pig). It matches the Rfam family "tRNA". Rfam says of the family: Transfer RNA (tRNA) molecules are approximately 80 nucleotides in length. Their secondary structure includes four short double-helical elements and three loops (D, anti-codon, and T loops). The record is from Rfam by way of RNAcentral. Lineage: Eukaryota; Metazoa; Chordata; Mammalia; Rodentia; Caviidae.